CGCCCAGACCAACCGUAAGGAGGCACGGCCGACCCAAGGUAUGGCCCAUGAUUGGGGUG
RNAcentral lists this ribosomal RNA (59 nucleotides) under uncultured bacterium. Its description in RNAcentral is "partial 16S ribosomal RNA". The record is from RNAcentral.